AUGAAACUGAAAAAGACAGCAAGGUCUCGAGGCGUCCCAUCUCAGGGGAGUGGACAAAUAAAGAACAGGAGCAGUCGAGCCUGUGGAACUCCUGCUGGCUGCGUGCAAGGCUCAACACUCUUCUGCAGUGAUGAAGGGUACGGCAGCAAGCGCAGGAAUAACGGACUGACCAAACACAAGCGCUCUGACAGAAUGAAGGUGAGAUGCAUUGGGAUUUCAGCUCAGAUGCAUGUCGUUCUUCAGCCACCUGCUGCUCAUCCACACCCACCUCUCCCUGCCUCUCUGAAACACUUCCCUGCUGCAUGCAACAUGCACGAGAAUAACAUGCGAUAGUGAGCAUCCUCUCCAGUCGCAACUGGAAGCAACAGGUCCUGCUGUCCUUCCCUGCAUGCGCUGACUCAAGUGGACGCUCCGAUUAAAGAUGUCGCCUGUGUGCUGCUGUCAUCUCUGACUCUGCAAAAGAGAUCGCUCCUGAGACUCCUCAAAUACAAAUAUCUGCUGCACUGCAUUGUGAGGGAGUUGUUUUCCUCACUUUAUUGUUGCAGCAGAAGAAAUCUUAUCACCUGGUUCCUAAUAGAGAUAAGAGAGUCGAGUGUUUCAUAUACAGAUCUGAUCUUUCAUUCGUCUUGUUUAAUUCAGAAAUGAAACGGAGAAGAAGAGUCCCUCUGUGAUUAACAUGCAUCCGUUCACCUGGAAGCCAUGUCCUGCUUUCACACCUGUCCUGUCUGUUGCAUAACACUGGCCAUAUUUCCAUGCACA
This is a long non-coding RNA of Carassius auratus (goldfish), 759 nucleotides long. RefSeq lists it as uncharacterized. Lineage: Eukaryota; Metazoa; Chordata; Actinopteri; Cypriniformes; Cyprinidae. The record is from RefSeq and is a predicted model, not a curated record. The transcript is spliced from 3 exons.